RNAcentral lists this ribosomal RNA (506 nucleotides) under uncultured bacterium. RNAcentral describes it as "partial 16S ribosomal RNA". It matches the Rfam family "Bacterial small subunit ribosomal RNA", at positions 30 to 523 of the family's 1533-position model. The record is from RNAcentral.
AUUGAACGCUGGCGGCAUGCCUUACACAUGCAAGUCGAACGGCAGCAUGAUCUAGCUUGCUAGAUUGAUGGCGAGUGGCGAACGGGUGAGUAAUACAUCGGAACGUGCCCUGUAGUGGGGGAUAACUAGUCGAAAGAUUAGCUAAUACCGCAUACGACCUGAGGGUGAAAGUGGGGGACCGCAAGGCCUCAUGCUAUAGGAGCGGCCGAUGUCUGAUUAGCUAGUUUGUGAGGUAAAGGCUCACCAAGGCGACGAUCAGUAGCUGGUCUGAGAGGACGAUCAGCCACACUGGGACUGAGACACGGCCCAGACACCUACGGGAGGCAGCAGUGGGGAAUUUUGGACAAUGGGCGAAAGCCUGAUCCAGCAAUGCCGCGUGUGUGAAGAAGGCCUUCGGGUUGUAAAGCACUUUUGUCCGGAAAGAAAUGGCUCUGGUUAAUACCUGGGGUCGAUGACGGUACCGGAAGAAUAAGGACCGGCUAACUACGUGCCAGCAGCCGCGGUAA